GAUGAACGCUGGCGGCGUGCCUAAUACAUGCAAGUCGAGCGAACAGACGAGGAGCUUGCUCCUCUGACGUUAGCGGCGGACGGGUGAGUAACACGUGGAUAACCUACCUAUAAGACUGGGAUAACUUCGGGAAACCGGAGCUAAUACCGGAUAAUAUAUUGAACCGCAUGGUUCAAUAGUGAAAGACGGUUUUGCUGUCACUUAUAGAUGGAUCCGCGCCGCAUUAGCUAGUUGGUAAGGUAACGGCUUACCAAGGCAACGAUGCGUAGCCGACCUAAGAGCGUAACCGGCCACACGGGAACCGAGACACGGUCCAGACUCCUACGGGAGGCAGCAGUAGGGAACCUUCCGCAAUGGGCGAAAGCUUGACGGAGAAACGCCGCGUGAGUGAUGAAGGUCUUCGGAUCGUAAAACUUUGUUAUUAGGGAAGAACAAAUGUGUAAGUAACUAUGCACGUCUUGACGGUACCUAAUCAGAAAGCCACGGCUAACUACGUG
This 497-nucleotide ribosomal RNA is filed under the name uncultured bacterium. Its description in RNAcentral is "partial 16S ribosomal RNA". It matches the Rfam family "Bacterial small subunit ribosomal RNA", at positions 28 to 507 of the family's 1533-position model. The record is from RNAcentral.